Molecule: ribosomal RNA, 231 nt
Filed under: uncultured bacterium
Lineage: Bacteria
Description: partial 16S ribosomal RNA
Rfam family: Bacterial small subunit ribosomal RNA
Source: RNAcentral
CGGGUGAGUAACGCGUGGAUAACCUGCCUCACACUGGGGGAUAACAGUUAGAAAUGACUGCUAAUACCGCAUAAGCGCACAGUACCGCAUGGUACAGUGUGAAAAACUCCGGUGGUGUGAGAUGGAUCCGCGUCUGACUAGCCAGUUGGCGGGGUAACGGCCCACCAAAGCGACGAUCAGUAGCCGACCUGAGAGGGUGACCGGCCACAUUGGGACUGAGACACGGCCCAA